GAGUUUGAUCUUGGCUCAGAUUGAACGCUGGCGGCAUGCCUUACACAUGCAAGUCGAACAGCAGCACGGGAGCUUGCUCCUGGGUGGCGAGUGGCGAACGGGUGAGUAAUGCAUCGGAACGUAUCCUGGAGUGGGGGAUAACGUAGCGAAAGUUACGCUAAUACCGCAUAUUCUGUGAGCAGGAAAGCGGGGGACCUUCGGGCCUCGCGCUCUUGGAGCGGCCGAUGUCGGAUUAGCUAGUUGGUGAGGUAAAGGCUCACCAAGGCGACGAUCCGUAGCAGGUCUGAGAGGAUGAUCUGCCACACUGGAACUGAGACACGGUCCAGGACUCCUACGGGAGGCAGGCAGUGGGGAAUUUUGGACAAUGGGGGCAACCCUGAUCCAGCCAUGCCGCGUGAGUGAAGAA
RNAcentral lists this ribosomal RNA (406 nucleotides) under bacterium enrichment culture clone ALO1_GLFRUDD03G722V. Its description in RNAcentral is "bacterial SSU rRNA". It matches the Rfam family "Bacterial small subunit ribosomal RNA", at positions 9 to 412 of the family's 1533-position model. The record is from RNAcentral.